RNA transcript from Cajanus cajan (pigeon pea), 2682 nucleotides. It is a transcript of the gene named Pyridoxal phosphate (PLP)-dependent transferases superfamily protein, with no coding region annotated. NCBI's taxonomy places the organism in Eukaryota, Viridiplantae, Streptophyta, Magnoliopsida, Fabales, Fabaceae. The record is from RefSeq and is a predicted model, not a curated record.
GUAAUAAAUGAGAGAGUAGAUGUAGAAGUAGAAGUGAUAAGUGAUAAAUGAUAAAUAGGCAUAGCCAAUAGCCAAAUCUAUUAUAAUGAACGGAGAGAGGUAAAUGAGGUUACGAUUGAAUUCACACUCCAAUGGACGAAAACAGCAAUGGUUCCCACAUACCCAAGACCAAGAAGCCAAAGAUCACACUCAUAACACCAUCCCAAAUACAAGCAGAAUUCGCCCACCACGACGCCUCCGUCGCCCGCAUCAACAACGGCAGCUUCGGCUCCUGCCCCGCCUCCAUCCUCGCCGCCCAGCGCCGCUCCCAGCUCGCCUUCCUCCGCCACCCUGACCACUUCUACUUCAACCAACUCAGCCCCGCCAUCCUCCGCUCCCGAACCCUAAUCCAGCGCCUCGUCAACGCCCACCACCUCGACGAGAUCUCCAUCGUCGACAACGCCACCACCGCCGCCUCCAUCGUCCUCCAGCACGCCGCCUGGAGCUUCCGCGAAGGCCGCUUCCGCCAGGGCGACGCCGUCCUCAUGCUCCACUACGCCUACGGCGCCGUUAAGAAAUCCAUGGAGGCUUACGUCGCGCGCGCCGGCGGUUACGUCGUGGAGGUUCCCCUCCCGUUCCCCGUUAACUCCAACGAAGAGAUCAUUUCCGAGUUCAGGAAGGCGUUGGAGAGAGGUAAGAGCAACGGUAAGAGGGUUAGGUUAGCGGUUAUCGAUCACGUCACUUCCAUGCCCUGUGUCGUCAUUCCCGUUAAGGAGUUGAUUCAGAUUUGCAGGGAGGAGGGUGUUGACCAGGUUUUCGUCGACGCUGCGCAUUCCAUUGGAUGUACUGACGUUGACAUGCAGGAAAUCGGUGCUGAUUUCUACACUAGUAAUUUGCAUAAGUGGUUCUUUUGUCCACCUUCCAUUGCCUUUUUGUACGCUCGUAGAAACCCUAAGGGUUCUGCUUUUGAUUUGCAUCACCCUGUUGUGUCUCAUGAGUACGGCAAUGGCCUUGCUGUGGAGAGUGCUUGGAUUGGGACUAGGGAUUACAGUGCUCAGUUGGUGGUUCCGGAGGCGGUGGAGUUCGUUAACCGCUUUGAAGGAGGCAUUGAGGGGAUCAAGAAGAGGAAUCAUGAGGGUGUUGUUGAGAUGGGGGAGAUGCUUGCAAAGGCGUGGGGGACUCACCUUGGCUGCCCCCCUCAUAUGUGUUGUAGCAUGGUUAUGGUUGGAAUGCCAGCUUCUUUGGGAAUUGAAAGUGAUUCGGAUGCUCUCAAGUUGAGGACGCAUUUGAGGGAUGCUUUUGGGGUUGAGGUUCCCAUUUACUACCGACCGCCGCAAGAGGGGGAGGUUGGGGUGGUGACUGGAUACGCAAGGAUUUCUUAUCAAGUGUAUAAUAAGGUCGAUGACUAUUACAAGUUCAGGGAUGCGGUUAACCAGCUUGUGCAAAAUGGGUUCACUUGUGGUGAGCUUUCGGAUUGAAAAGUUGUCCAUUGAAUCCAAUACUUCUCUAAAAGGCUUCUUCUUGGAACAAGAUUCAACAGAGGGUAAAUUAGUAUUUCCUUCAUAAAUCAUGAGGCAUUACUGAAAAAAGUUGCCGCUAUAUGAUUUCAUGCUUCUAACCUCGGGAAAAUGCAAGAAACUCUCGUGGUUGGUGCCACUAGUGAAAUAUAUAUUUGAGGUUUUGGUACAUUACCCAAGUAUAGAGCUGAGAGGUGUCACUGUUGUCUUUCUGAUGAAUAAAAACAAUGUUUCUAUGAUUGCUUGCAAGCUUGGCUAGUUGUGAUGUUUUGGUACCACAAACUGCAGGUUUUGCUGAGAAACUACAGAAAUUGCUCAUAUUAGCGUUGCUGAGUAAAUUUCUUUAGGAGUAAAUUCUAUGUUGAGAUCUAUGGAGAUAUACUUGUAAAUAUAAUCAUGAUUCUCUGAUGGUUUAAUGCUUUUAACCUUCAUUGUGCCAGUUGAAGUUCAACCUUCAUUUUCAAACAGCUUUGGGAUAUGUUUAGUUAAAAAGUUUAGUUGGUCAAUUUUUUUAUCAGUCAUUUCUGCCCUUCGAACAUCAUUUACCCAUUUUCAUUUUUCAGAGUAUAAACCGAUUUUCAUUUUUCAAGCAUUCCUGUUACCCACUUGCAUGUCGUGUCGGUGUACCAGAGUUGUAUAACCAUAAAACUCCAUGCUCCAUUUGCGUGUUAGGUUCCCAUGCCAAAAUCUCUUUACAGAUGCCAAACACUCCUUGUUACUGUUCCAAUAAAAAUCCCUGUUAUUAGUCUUCAAAACCACCUUUUAUGCCAUGAAUCUAACCGGCACCCAAAUGUUAGUGGUUUUAUGUUAAAGAGGAGUUUGGUUUGGUGAUCAUACUGUGCUCUGUUUCUAUGGGUUCUGUUUUAUGUUGCAAGUUGUAUGUGGGGAACGUGGUUGUUUAAGUUUCGAUGAGCUAUAAGGGUGGAUUCUGUUUGGCUGAUAGGGAUAUUAUUGGCUUCAACCUGGACUGAGCUUCACAGAUGUUGGUUCAUGGUGUUCCCGGGGUGUUCUAGUUAUUUUAUUCACGGUAGUGUGGCAUCUGUAGGUAGUAAGGUAGGGGUUAUUUCUUGUAUUUCAUGGUUUAAAAGGAACGGGUUCAAAGGUUGCAACUAUAGAUGAUAAUGAUUUUCAGGGCUCUCAUGACGUGCAGAAAAACAUGGGACGUUAUAUACGAAUGAUUUUGUAA